UGGGGAAUAUUGCACAAUGGGGAAAGCCCUGAUGCAGCGACGCCGCGUGAGUGAAGAAGUAUUUCGGUAUGUAAAGCUCUAUCAGCAGGGAAGAAGAAAGACGGUACCUGACUAAGAAGCCCGCGUACAUACGUGCCAGCAGCCGCGGUAAUACGUAGGGCGAAGCGUUAUCCGGAUUUACUGGGUGUAAAGGGAGCGUAGACGGCGGAGCAAGUCUGAAGUGAAAGCCCGCGUAUCAGCAGCAGUUGAUUGACUGUACUGCUGGAGUGCUGGAGAGGUAAGCGGAAUUCCUAGUGUAGCGGUGAAAUGCGUAGAUAUUAGGAGGAACACCAGUGGCGAAGGCGGCUUACUGGACAGUCACUGACGUUGAGGCUCGAAAAGCGUGGGGAGCAAAACAGGAUUAGAUACC
This 409-nucleotide ribosomal RNA is filed under the name uncultured bacterium. Its description in RNAcentral is "bacterial SSU rRNA". It matches the Rfam family "Bacterial small subunit ribosomal RNA", at positions 355 to 786 of the family's 1533-position model. The record is from RNAcentral.